RNAcentral lists this microRNA (23 nucleotides) under Danio rerio (zebrafish). RNAcentral describes it as "Dre-Mir-27-P4a_5p* (star (passenger))". Lineage: Eukaryota; Metazoa; Chordata; Actinopteri; Cypriniformes; Danionidae. The record is from RNAcentral.
AGAGCUUAGCUAAUCGGUGAGCA